AUAAGCGGAGGAAAAGAAACCAACAGGGAUUGCCUUAGUAACGGCGAGUGAAGCGGCAACAGCUCAAAUUUGAAAUCUGGCCUCUUUGGGGUCCGAGUUGUAAUUUGCAGAGGGUGCUUUGGCGUCGGCUGUGGUCUAAGUUCCUUGGAACAGGACGUCGCAGAGGGUGAGAAUCCCGUAUGUGGCCGCCAGCCUUCGCCGUGUAAAGCCCCUUCGACGAGUCGAGUUGUUUGGGAAUGCAGCUCUAAAUGGGAGGUAAAUUUCUUCUAAAGCUAAAUAUCUGCCAGAGACCGAUAGCGCACAAGUAGAGUGAUCGAAAGAUGAAAAGCACUUUGGAAAGAGAGUCAAAAAGCACGUGAAAUUGUUGAAAGGGAAGCGCUUGCAGUUAGACAUGCCUCUAGUUGUUCAGCCAGGCUUUUGCCUGGUGCACUCUUCUAUGGGCAGGCCAGCAUCAGUUUAGGCGGUUGGAUAAAGGUCUAUUAAACGUGACUCCCUUCGGGGAGAGCUUAUAGGGUAGGCGACACGCAACCAGCCCGAACUGAGGUCCGCGCAUCUGCUAGGAUGCUGGCGUAAUAGCUGUAAGCGGCCCGUCUUGAAACACGGACCAAGGAGUCUAACAUCUAUGCGAGUGUUUGGGUGUUAAAGCCCGGGCGCGCAAUGAAAGUAAACGGAGGUGGGAUCCCUCACGGGUGCACCAUCGACCGAUCCUGAUGUCUUCGGAUGGAUUUGAGUAAGAGCAUAGCUGUUGGGACCCGAAAGAUGGUGAACUAUGCCUGAAUAGGGUGAAGCCAGAGGAAACUCUGGUGGAGGCUCGCAGCGGUUCUGACGUGCAAAUCGAUCGUCAAAUUUGGGCAUAGGGGCGAAAGACUAAUCGAACUAUCUAGUAGCUGGUUCCUGCCGAAGUUUCCCUCAGGAUAGCAGUAACGUUUUCAGUUUUAUGAGGUAAAGCGAAUGAUUAGAGGCCUGGGGGUUGAAACAACCUUCACCUAUUCUCAAACUUUAAAUAUGUAAGAAGUCCUUGUUACUUAAUU
This 1031-nucleotide ribosomal RNA is filed under the name Lophiostoma alpigenum. RNAcentral's name for it is "eukaryotic LSU rRNA". It matches the Rfam family "Eukaryotic large subunit ribosomal RNA", at positions 46 to 1096 of the family's 3401-position model. Lineage: Eukaryota; Fungi; Ascomycota; Dothideomycetes; Pleosporales; Lophiostomataceae. The record is from RNAcentral.